GGAGAGAUGUCUGAGCGGUUGAAGGAGCACGCCUGGAAAGCGUGUGUACAUGUAAGUGUACCGAGGGUUCGAAUCCCUCUCUCUCCGCCA
RNAcentral lists this transfer RNA (90 nucleotides) under Acetobacterium paludosum. Its description in RNAcentral is "tRNA-Ser". It matches the Rfam family "tRNA". From Rfam's summary of the family: Transfer RNA (tRNA) molecules are approximately 80 nucleotides in length. Their secondary structure includes four short double-helical elements and three loops (D, anti-codon, and T loops). Further hydrogen bonds mediate the characteristic L-shaped molecular structure. tRNAs have two regions of fundamental functional importance: the anti-codon, which is responsible for specific mRNA codon recognition, and the 3' end, to which the tRNAs corresponding amino acid is attached (by aminoacyl-tRNA synthetases). tRNAs cope with the degeneracy of the genetic code in two manners: having more than one tRNA (with a specific anti-codon) for a particular amino acid; and 'wobble' base-pairing, i.e. permitting non-standard base-pairing at the 3rd anti-codon position. The record is from RNAcentral. Lineage: Bacteria; Bacillati; Bacillota; Clostridia; Eubacteriales; Eubacteriaceae. RNAcentral also lists the same sequence under 2 other names.